GCGUCCCAUCAGGUGAGAGGUGAGAUAACGGCUCACCAAACAUAUAACCGGUACGGCCCAUCAGAUCGCUAGCAUGGAGAUGGGCACUGAUACAAGGGCCCAGGCCCUACGGGGCGCAGCAGUCGCGAAAACUCCGCAAUGCACGAAAGUGUGACGGGGCUACCCCGAGUGCCGUCCGCUGAGGAUGGCUUUUCCCCGGUGUAACUAGCCGGGGGAAUAAGGAGAGGGCAAGACUGGUGUCAGCCGCCGCGGUAA
This 255-nucleotide ribosomal RNA is filed under the name uncultured archaeon. RNAcentral's name for it is "partial 16S ribosomal RNA". It matches the Rfam family "Archaeal small subunit ribosomal RNA", at positions 217 to 473 of the family's 1478-position model. The record is from RNAcentral.